RNAcentral lists this ribosomal RNA (368 nucleotides) under uncultured Bacillus sp. RNAcentral's name for it is "bacterial SSU rRNA". It matches the Rfam family "Bacterial small subunit ribosomal RNA", at positions 366 to 725 of the family's 1533-position model. Lineage: Bacteria; Bacillati; Bacillota; Bacilli; Caryophanales; Bacillaceae. The record is from RNAcentral.
CCGCAAUGGACGAAAGUCUGACGGAGCAACGCCGCGUGAGUGAUGAAGGCUUUCGGGUCGUAAAACUCUGUUGUUAGGGAAGAACAAGUGCUAGUUGAAUAAGCUGGCACCUUGACGGUACCUAACCAGAAAGCCACGGCUAACUACGUGCCAGCAGCCGCGGUAAUACGUAGGUGGCAAGCGUUAUCCGGAAUUAUUGGGCGUAAAGCGCGCGCAGGUGGUUUCUUAAGUCUGAUGUGAAAGCCCACGGCUCAACCGUGGAGGGUCAUUGGAAACUGGGAGACUUGAGUGCAGAAGAGGAAAGUGGAAUUCCAUGUGUAGCGGUGAAAUGCGUAGAGAUAUGGAGGAACACCAGUGGCGAAGGCGAC